RNAcentral lists this ribosomal RNA (449 nucleotides) under uncultured bacterium. RNAcentral's name for it is "partial 16S ribosomal RNA". It matches the Rfam family "Bacterial small subunit ribosomal RNA", at positions 29 to 523 of the family's 1533-position model. The record is from RNAcentral.
AACGAACGCUGGCGGCAGGCUUAACACAUGCAAGUCGAACGAGAUCUACGGAUCUAGUGGCAGACGGGUGAGGAACACGUGGGAACAUCCCUUUCAGUUCGGAAUAACGUUGGGAAACUAACGCUAAUACCGGAUACGUCCUUCGGGAGAAAGAUUUAUCGCUGAAAGAUUGGCCCGCGUCUGAUUAGCUAGUUGGUGAGGUAAUGGCUCACCAAGGCUACGAUCGGUAGCUGAUCUGAGAGGAUGAUCAGCCACAUUGGGACUGAGACACGGCCCAAACUCCUACGGGAGGCAGCAGUGGGGAAUAUUGGACAAUGGGCGCAAGCCUGAUCCAGCCAUGCCGCGUGAGUGAUGACGGCCUUCGGGUUGUAAAGCUCUUUUGUCCGGGAAGAUAAUGACUGUACCGGAAGAAUAAGCCCCGGCAAACUUCGUGCCAGCAGCCGCAGUAA